UACGGAGGGGGCUAGCGUUGUCCGAAGUUACUGGGCGUAAAGGGCGCGUAGGCGGGCUGUCCAGUCUGGGGUGAAAUCCCGCGGCUCAACCGUGGAACUGCCUUAGAUACUGACGGCCUCGAGGGAGAUAGGGGCAUGCGGAACUGUAGGUGGAGCGGUGAAAUGCGUUGAUAUCUACAGGAACUCCGGUGGCGAAGGCGGCGUGCUGGAUCUCUUCUGACGCUGAGGCGCGAAAGCUAGGGGAGCAAACGGG
Molecule: ribosomal RNA, 253 nt
Filed under: uncultured bacterium
Lineage: Bacteria
Description: partial 16S ribosomal RNA
Rfam family: Bacterial small subunit ribosomal RNA
Source: RNAcentral